GAUGAACGCUGGCGGUAUGCCUAACACAUGCAAGUCGUACGAGAGUUUUUAACUCUAGUGGCGGACGGGUGAGUAACACGUGAGAAUUUGCCUUUGGUUCGGAAUAGCCCCGGGAAACUGGGAGUAAUACCGGAUGAGCCCUUCGGGGGAAAGAUUUAUCGCCAAAGGAUCGGCCCGCGUUGGAUUAGGUAGUUGGUGGGGUAAUGGCCUACCAAGCCGACGAUCCAUAGCUGGUUUGAGAGGAUGAUCAGCCACACUGGGACUGAGACACGGCCCAGACUCCUACGGGAGGCAGCAGUGGGGAAUCUUAGACAAUGGGGGAAACCCUGAUCUAGCCAUGCCGCGUGAUCGAUGAAGGCCUUAGGGUUGUAAAGAUCUUUCAGGUGGGAAGAUAAUGACUGUACCACCAGAAGAAGCCCCGGCUAACUCCGUG
This 433-nucleotide ribosomal RNA is filed under the name uncultured bacterium. Its description in RNAcentral is "bacterial SSU rRNA". It matches the Rfam family "Bacterial small subunit ribosomal RNA", at positions 28 to 507 of the family's 1533-position model. The record is from RNAcentral.